Molecule: unclassified non-coding RNA, 419 nt
Filed under: fungal sp.
Lineage: Eukaryota; Fungi
Description: partial internal transcribed spacer region
Rfam family: Eukaryotic small subunit ribosomal RNA (bases 1-46)
Source: RNAcentral
AAGUCGUAACAAGGUAACCGUAGGUGAACCUGCGGUUGGAUCAUUAAACAAACCCAAGGUGCCGGGGGUACGAUAUGGGGGCCAAAAGGGCGCUUGCAACUCAAGUCGUCCUCCCCGUCGGCUCUCGGAUUACCAACCACAUCUUGUGAACCCUCAAACCCGUCCGGCGGGGGAGGGAUGGGAGGCUCUCCGGAGUCUCCGAUUCCUCCGUCAGCGUUAGGCAGCCUCCGGCUGUCCUUCGCCGUGGACAACCCGCCCACCCAACCCUUCCAGCCUUCGUGUUGAAGGGGUUGUUUUGCCCAACUUUUUGGAUCUUUAACGAUUGUGAAUUGUAUCUGAGAAUGCGACGGUGCAAUUGCGCCGUCUUUUUGGAAACAAACAUUCAAAAACAACUUUUGGCAACGGAUCUCUUGGCUCUC